UUGAACGCUGGCGGCAGGCCUAACACAUGCAAGUCGCGCGGAUGAAGGGAGCUUGCUCCUGGAUUCAGCGGCGGACGGGUGAGUAAUGCCUAGGAAUCUGCCUGGUAGUGGGGGAUAACGUCCGGAAACGGGCGCUAAUACCGCAUACGUCCUGAGGGAGAAAGUGGGGGAUCUUCGGACCUCACGCUAUCAGAUGAGCCUAGGUCGGAUUAGCUAGUUGGUGGGGUAAAGGCCUACCAAGGCGACGAUCCGUAAUUGGUCUGAGAGGAUGAUCAGUCACACUGGAACUGAGACACGGUCCAGACUCCUACGGGAGGCAGCAGUGGGGAAUAUUGGACAAUGGGCGAAAGCCUGAUCCAGCCAUGCCGCGUGUGUGAAGAAGGUCUUCGGAUUGUAAAGCACUUUAAGUUGGGAGGAAGGGCAGUAAGUUAAUACCUUGCUGUUUUGACGUUACCAACAGAAUAAGCACCGGCUAACUUCGUG
RNAcentral lists this ribosomal RNA (483 nucleotides) under uncultured bacterium. RNAcentral's name for it is "partial 16S ribosomal RNA". It matches the Rfam family "Bacterial small subunit ribosomal RNA", at positions 30 to 507 of the family's 1533-position model. The record is from RNAcentral.